Molecule: ribosomal RNA, 422 nt
Filed under: uncultured Chitinophagaceae bacterium
Lineage: Bacteria; Pseudomonadati; Bacteroidota; Chitinophagia; Chitinophagales; Chitinophagaceae
Description: bacterial SSU rRNA
Rfam family: Bacterial small subunit ribosomal RNA
Source: RNAcentral
UAAGGAAUAUUGGUCAAUGGACGCAAGUCUGAACCAGCCAUGCCGCGUGAAGGAUGAAGGCCCUCUGGGUUGUAAACUUCUUUUACAGGGGACGAAAAAAGGGAAUUCUUUCUCACUUGACGGUACCCUGGGAAUAAGCACCGGCUAACUCCGUGCCAGCAGCCGCGGUAAUACGGAGGGUGCAAGCGUUAUCCGGAUUUACUGGGUUUAAAGGGUGCGUAGGUGGGUCUGUAAGUCAGUGGUGAAAUCUCCGGGCUUAACCCGGAAAUUGCCAUUGAUACUAUAGGUCUUGAAUCAUCUGGAGGUAAGCGGAAUAUGUCAUGUAGCGGUGAAAUGCUUAGAUAUGACAUAGAACACCAAUUGCGAAGGCAGCUUACUACGGAUGCAUUGACACUGAGGCACGAAAGCGUGGGGAUCAAACA